CCGCAGGUGGCAACGCCUCCCCCUCCCCCACCUCGGUGGCGGCGGUGGGGGUUGUCACCCGGCGGGGACGGUGUCACCGUUUCUUGACCCCCCGACCCCCCCAUUGUCACCCAAUUGAGGGACAUUGUCACCGUUUGGGGACGGUGUCACCGUUUCUUGACCCCAUUGUCACCCAUUGAGGGACAUUGUCACCCCAUUGAGGGACAUUGUCACCGUUUGGGGACGGUGUCCCCAUUUCUUGACCCCAUUGUCACCCAUUAAGGGACAUUGUCACCCCAUUGUGGGACAUUGUCACCGUUUGGGGACGGUGUCACCAUUUCUUGACCCCAUUGUCACCCCAUUGAGGGACAUUGUCACCAUUUGGGGACGGUGUCCCCAUUUCUUGACCCCAUUGUCACCCAUUGAGGGACAUUGUCACCCCUUUUGGGACAUUGUCACCCCUUUGUGGAACAUUGUCACCAUUUGGGGACGGUGUCACCGUUUCUUGACCCCAUUGUCACCCCAUUGUGGGACACUGUCACCAUUUGGGGACAGUGUCAUCGUUUCUUGACCCCAUUGUCA
This 561-nucleotide long non-coding RNA is filed under the name Numida meleagris (helmeted guineafowl). Its description in RNAcentral is "lncRNA (ENSNMEG00000000485.1)". Lineage: Eukaryota; Metazoa; Chordata; Aves; Galliformes; Numididae. The record is from RNAcentral.